Molecule: long non-coding RNA, 434 nt
Organism: Pseudoliparis swirei
Lineage: Eukaryota; Metazoa; Chordata; Actinopteri; Perciformes; Liparidae
Exons: 3
Source: RefSeq, a predicted model, not a curated record
AAAGAGAGAGAGGGAAAGAGGGGUAGAGGAAGGAAGAGGGAGAGAGAGAGCGAGAGAGAAUAUCCCGUCAGUGCCUGGGAACCUGAGGGAUCCUGGCAAGGACAGAGGAGACGGAGAAGGAGGCGAGGAGGACAGAGGAGACGGAGACGGAGGCGAGGAGGACAGAGGAGACGGAGAAGGAGGCGAGGAGGACAGAGGAGACGAGGGGGCUGAGAGGAGAGCUGCUGGAUCAGGUCUCGGAUUGUGUUGGACUUCUGUUGAUCUGGUCUGAGGGGUCUGCAGCACCAUGGGAGCCCCCGGCAACACGCUGCUCGUCUUCACGCUCUUCGUCGUCUCGUCUCUCAGCCAAGAAGAUUAUUAUUAUUCUGGAUCUCAGUCUGGUGAGGAACACACCUUUGAAGGCUCUUCUGUCGACCGCUCAGCUCCUCCACCAG